GGUUGUUAGUAAUAUUCACCAAAUAUAUAUAUAUAAUAUACCGGUAUAAAUACAUGUAAGUUAUAAAUGCUAACAAAUAUAAAGAUGGUUCGACAUAAAUGUCUAAUGUCUAACAAACAAAAAAUAAACAAUUCUUCAUAAGUGACAUAUUAUUUAGUUUUGGAUUUUAAGGAACCAAACAAAGAUUAUAAAUCAAGAGUAGUUUCAUUUCUUUUUUCUCUUUCUUCUCUCUUUCCUCCCUUUUUUAAAGCAAUACAUGUUUAAAUGAUUUUAUUAAAUUUUAACUCCUCCCUCACAAGAAAAAAUAUAAAUAAAUAAAAUAAAAAUAAAUAAAUAACUAAGAUAAGCUUUAAAACACACUGAAAGUAAUUAAGAAAUAAGAAAGCCAAAAAAAACACAAAAAAAAAAAAAAACGGAAAGGGUAGAAAUUUAUGAAUAUAUAAAUAAAUAUCAGGAAAUACCAAUGUAAAGAGGUAAAUAGAAAAAAGAAAUGAGAACCACUUGCAUUCACUUUCACUUUCUCUCAGUCUCUCAUACACACAUACAAUUCUUACUUACAUACACACAUACAUUACUUAAUUAUGUACAUAAUUAUUGUUUACAAUUAUAUGCAUCAAAGAAUAAACAAAAUCUAAUCAAAAAAUUUGCUCACAGAUUAAUAUCAUACUCUAUGGUGGAAAUAUAUAUUGUAAUGGGGUCCAAAAUUUUUCAUAUACAUCAACAUUAUUAUUUUUCUUUGCAAUAUAAUAUUCAUAUGACUGAUAUUGUUUUAUUCUAUUUUUAAAACCAAAAAU
RNAcentral lists this long non-coding RNA (794 nucleotides) under Mytilus galloprovincialis (Mediterranean mussel). The record is from RNAcentral. Lineage: Eukaryota; Metazoa; Mollusca; Bivalvia; Mytilida; Mytilidae.